RNAcentral lists this ribosomal RNA (445 nucleotides) under uncultured bacterium. Its description in RNAcentral is "partial 16S ribosomal RNA". It matches the Rfam family "Bacterial small subunit ribosomal RNA", at positions 354 to 796 of the family's 1533-position model. The record is from RNAcentral.
GUGAGGAAUAUUGGUCAAUGGGCGGGAGCCUGAACCAGCCAAGUCGCGUGAAGGAAGAAGGAUCUAUGGUUCGUAAACUUCUUUUGCAGGGGAAUAAAGUGCAGGACGUGUCCUGUUUUGUAUGUACCCUGAGAAUAAGGAUCGGCUAACUCCGUGCCAGCAGCCGCGGUAAUACGGAGGAUCCGAGCGUUAUCCGGAUUUAUUGGGUUUAAAGGGUGCGUAGGUGGUUUGAUAAGUCAGCGGUGAAAGUUUGCAGCUUAACUGCAAAAAUGCCGUUGAAACUGUCGGACUUGAGUGUAAAUGAGGUAGGCGGAAUGCGUGGUGUAGCGGUGAAAUGCAUAGAUAUCACGCAGAACUCCGAUUGCGAAGGCAGCUUACUAAGCUACAACUGACACUGAAGCACGAAAGCGUGGGGAUCAAACAGGAUUAGAAACCCGGGUAGUCC